Alligator sinensis (Chinese alligator) is the source of this 317-nucleotide long non-coding RNA. RefSeq lists it as uncharacterized. The transcript is spliced from 3 exons. NCBI's taxonomy places the organism in Eukaryota, Metazoa, Chordata, Crocodylia, Alligatoridae. The record is from RefSeq and is a predicted model, not a curated record.
CUUUCCUGGUUCCUGAUCCUACUCUUACCUUGUUCCUAGAUUAUGAUUUUGGAUUUCCCUGUGGAUUUGUUUCUUGGCUUCUGACUCCAGUUUGGCUCUGCUCUUAAAUAUUGUCUUGUAGAUUGUUCCUUAGACUUAAAACUUCUUCAGGUGGUACCAGCUGAAGAUGGUCAUCAGUUUCAUUGCUUCUUUUAAUGUUAAGUCAUCUCUUUCCAAAUGGGUUGCUACAACUUUAUUAUCAGCAAUAGUCCUUUCUGUUUUUUGGAAACUUGGGAUGAGAGAAGGAAACCUAUCAUUUCUUCCCUUCCAACGCCACA